RNAcentral lists this ribosomal RNA (501 nucleotides) under uncultured bacterium. RNAcentral describes it as "partial 16S ribosomal RNA". It matches the Rfam family "Bacterial small subunit ribosomal RNA", at positions 899 to 1397 of the family's 1533-position model. The record is from RNAcentral.
ACUCAAAGGAAUAGACGGGGGCCCGCACAAGCGGUGGAGCAUGUGGAUUAAUACGUCAUUAACCGUAGAACCUUACCCAGGCUUGACAUCCACGGAACUCACCCGAAAAGGUGGGGUGCUACGCAAGUAGAGCCGUGAGACAGGUGUUGCAUGGCUGUCGUCAGCUCGUGUCGUGAGAUGUUGGGUUAAGUCCCGCAACGAGCGCAACCCUCACUGCCUGUUGCCAGCAUUCAGUUGGGCACUCUGGCGGAACUGCCCGGGUAACCGGGAGGAAGGUGGGGACGACGUCAAGUCAGCAUGGCCCGUACGCCUGGGGCUUCACACAUGCUACAAUGGCCGGUACAAAGGGUCCCGAAGCCGCGAGGUGGAGGCAAUCCCAAAAAGCCGGUCUCAGUUCGGAUCGCAGGCUGCAACUCGCCUGCGUGAAGGUGGAAUCGCUAGUAACCGCCGGUCAGCUAAACGGCGGUGAAUACGUUCCCGGGCCUUGUACACACCGCCCGU